CGAGCGGACCCUUUCAAAGCUUGCUUUUGAAGAGUACAGCGGCGGACGGGUGAGUAACACGUGGGCAACCUGCCUGUAAGACUGGGAUAACUUCGGGAAACCGGAGCUAAUACCGGAUAAUAUAAAGAACCUCCUGGUUCUUUAUUGAAAGAUGGUUUCGGCUAUCACUUACAGAUGGGCCCGCGGCGCAUUAGCUAGUUGGUGAGGUAACGGCUCACCAAGGCGACGAUGCGUAGCCGACCUGAGAGGGUGAUCGGCCACACUGGGACUGAGACACGGCCCAGACUCCUACGGGAGGCAGCAGUAGGGAAUCUUCCACAAUGGACGAAAGUCUGAUGGAGCAACGCCGCGUGAGCGAUGAAGGCCUUCGGGUCGUAAAGCUCUGUUGUUAGGGAAGAACAAGUGCGAGAGUAACUGCUCGCACCUUGACGGUACCUAACCAGAAAGCCACGG
Molecule: ribosomal RNA, 453 nt
Filed under: Sutcliffiella horikoshii
Lineage: Bacteria; Bacillati; Bacillota; Bacilli; Caryophanales; Bacillaceae
Description: bacterial SSU rRNA
Rfam family: Bacterial small subunit ribosomal RNA
Source: RNAcentral